CCUACGGGAGGCAGCAGUGGGGAAUAUUGGGCAAUGGGCGCAAGCCUGACCCAGCAACGCCGCGUGAAGGAAGAAGGCUUUCGGGUUGUAAACUUCUUUUCUCAGGGACGAAGCAAGUGACGGUACCUGAGGAAUAAGCCACGGCUAACUACGUGCCAGCAGCCGCGGCAAUACGUAGGUGGCAAGCGUGAUCCGGAUUUACUGGGUGUAAAGGGCGUGUAGGCGGGGACGCAAGUCAGAUGUGAAAACCACGGGCUCAACCUGUGGCCUGCAUUUGAAACUGUGUUUCUUGAGUACUGGAGAGGCAGACGGAAUUCCUGGUGUAGCGGUGAAAUGCGUAGAUAUUAGGAGGAACACCAGUGGCGAAGGCGGGCUGCUGGACAGCAACUGACGCUGAGGCGCGAAGGCGUGGGGAGCAAACAGGAUUAGAUACCCCAGUAGUC
Molecule: ribosomal RNA, 443 nt
Filed under: uncultured bacterium
Lineage: Bacteria
Description: partial 16S ribosomal RNA
Rfam family: Bacterial small subunit ribosomal RNA
Source: RNAcentral